UACGAAGGGGGCUAGCGUUGUUCGGAAUUACUGGGCGUAAAGCGCGCGUAGGCGGACGUUUAAGUCAGGGGUGAAAUGCCGGGGCUCAACCUCGGAACUGCCUUUGAUACUGGACGUCUGGAGUUCGGGAGAGGUGAGUGGAAUUCCGAGUGUAGAGGUGAAAUUCGUAGAUAUUCGGAGGAACACCAGAAGCGAAGGCGGCUCACUGGCCCGAUACUGACGCUGAGGCGCGAAAGCUAGGGGAGCAAACGGG
RNAcentral lists this ribosomal RNA (253 nucleotides) under uncultured bacterium. RNAcentral describes it as "partial 16S ribosomal RNA". It matches the Rfam family "Bacterial small subunit ribosomal RNA", at positions 524 to 776 of the family's 1533-position model. The record is from RNAcentral.